RNAcentral lists this unclassified non-coding RNA (551 nucleotides) under Hevea brasiliensis (rubber tree). The record is from RNAcentral. Lineage: Eukaryota; Viridiplantae; Streptophyta; Magnoliopsida; Malpighiales; Euphorbiaceae.
GUCUACUUCUGCUGCUCGAUUUUCGUUUUUCUUUUUUCCUUUCAGGAAUUUUGUUCUUGAAUGAGCAAUUGUUUGGAAAACUGCGAAAUUUACGUGGAGUUAAGAACUAAGUAGGAGAGGACUAUUGAUCUAUUUAUUAAAUUUGAGCUGCAGAAAUUAAAGAAAGCAAAAGCAGGUUUGAGGAGAAUGUUGCCACAGAAGAUGAAGAAGGCUGUCACGGACAACCCUAAGAAGCUUGCUAAUUUAAUUGAUCUCGUAAAUCUUCCUUCAACACUUCGGGAGUUUGUGGGUCAGUCUCAAAUUUCUCGUUUGGGCUGUUUCAUACGUGUCUGGUCCUACAUCAAGACCAACAAUCUCCAGGAUCCUAAUAACAAGAAUGUAGUCAACUGUGAUGAAAAGUUGAAGAGUAUUUUGUUGGGCAAGCCUCAGAUUGAUCUAGCUGAACUUCCGGCACUGAUCAAACUGCAUUUCCCCAAAGAGCCAAAGUAAGUUGCAAUUUGAGAUCAAGACAUCGAGCUAAUGCACAAAGCAUCUCACACUUGUGAGUCUGG